CCUACGGGAGGCAGCAGUGAGGAAUAUUGGUCAAUGGUCGGGAGACUGAACCAGCCAAGCCGCGUGAGGGAUGAAGGUACAGAGUAUCGUAAACCUCUUUUGUCAGGGAACAAAGGCGGGGACGUGUCCCCGGAUGAGUGUACCUGAAGAAAAAGCAUCGGCUAACUCCGUGCCAGCAGCCGCGGUAAUACGGAGGAUGCGAGCGUUGUCCGGAUUUACUGGGUGUAAAGGGUGCGUAGGCGGCCCUGCAAGUCAGAAGUGAAAUCCAUGGGCUUAACCCGUGAACUGCUUUUGAAACUGCAGGG
RNAcentral lists this ribosomal RNA (305 nucleotides) under uncultured bacterium. RNAcentral describes it as "bacterial SSU rRNA". It matches the Rfam family "Bacterial small subunit ribosomal RNA", at positions 338 to 640 of the family's 1533-position model. The record is from RNAcentral.